GCUCAUUGUCAAUCUAGCAUGAAGCUCCUUUUCUUUUGUUGGACUAGACGAUGCUCAGGAUCGACAUUCAAUCUGUGAACAAAAAUGUUAGGAGAGAUACCUGACAUGUCGAAAACCAACCAAAGGAAGAUGUCUGUAUUGGCUUGUAGAAACUAUAGUAGACAAGCUCGCAAUUUGGUUGGCAGCAUCGUCUCAAUCUGGAUUGUCCUACUUGGAUCCUCUUCUCUGAGUGGUAUGGACCCCAGUUGUUCUGCAGGUUCACAUCGGGCCUCCUUGAGUUCCUUUUGAUGGUCAAGGCUCUCGAUCGGCAGAGACUCCAUGGGCUUUUUUUCUUUUACCAAGGCCAUGAAGCGUUGACGGGCCAUCAUUUGAUCUCCCUAGAUUUUGCCG
This 390-nucleotide long non-coding RNA is filed under the name Elaeis guineensis (African oil palm). RNAcentral's name for it is "long non-coding RNA (EGUI_LNC017215)". Lineage: Eukaryota; Viridiplantae; Streptophyta; Magnoliopsida; Arecales; Arecaceae. The record is from RNAcentral.